RNAcentral lists this long non-coding RNA (1633 nucleotides) under Homo sapiens (human). RNAcentral describes it as "HSALNT0259673". The record is from RNAcentral. Lineage: Eukaryota; Metazoa; Chordata; Mammalia; Primates; Hominidae.
ACGUUAGAACACUUCCAUUGUUCCACAUCGCUGCCAACACUUGGAACCAAUAAAGCAUUGUCAGGUGCUUUAUUUUUAGUCAUUCUGGUGGGUGUGUAGAGGUAGCUCAUUGUAGCUUUAAUUUGCAUUUCCCUGCUGAGUAAUGAAAUUGAACAUCUCUUCAUUUGCAUAUCAGCCUUUUGGAGGGUUGAUGAUGCUCUUAAGCCCUGUAGAUUAGAGAACCAGCUGCAGAUGAGCUUCCCUGAGGCUCUGUUCUCCUAGAACCACCAUCAGUCAGGACCUGAUUAUCAGUAGGCUGAAUAACGACCCCCAAAUAUAUUCAGGUAUGCGAUGGUCUCAAUGUUUGUAUCCCCUCUGAAAUUCACAUACUGAGGCCAAGAGCAGUGGCUCACGCCUGUAAUCCCAGCACCUUGGGAGGGCAAGGCAGGAGGAUCGCCUGAGCCCAGGAAUUCAAGGUCAGCCUGGCUAACAUAGUAAGAUCCCUAUCUCUACAAAAAAAUUAGCCAGGCAUGGUGGGAUGCACCUGAAGUCCCAGACACUUGGGAGGCUGUGGUGGGAAGAUUACUUGAGCCUGGGAGGUUGAGGUUGCAGUGAUCUGUGACUCCAGCCUGGGCAACAGAGAGAGACCCUGUCUCUAGAAAAAACCCCCAAAAUUCAUAUAUGGAAAUCCCAACCCCCAAGGUGAUGGUAUUAGGAGGUGGGACCUGCGGGAGGUGAUUGGGUCAAGAGGGCAAAGUACACAUGAAUAGGAUUAGUGCCCUUAUAAAACAGGCCAUAGAGAGAGCCCUUGCCUCUUCCACUCUGUAAGAACACAGGGAGAAGACCUCCUCUAUGAGGAAGCAGGGCCCUUAUCAGACAGCGAAUCUGCCAGCACCUUGAUCUUGAAUGUCCCAGGCUUUACUACUGUGAGAAAUAAAUUUUUUAAACCUCCCAGUUUAUGGUAUUUUGUUCUAGCAGCCUGAAUAGACUAAGACAGCAACCCAAUCCCUGGAACCUAUAAAUGUUAUGUUAUACAAAAGAAGCGUCUUUGCAGAUGUAAAUUAAUGAUUUUUUUUUUUUUUUUUGGAGAUGGAGUCUCGCUCUGUCGCCCAGGAUGGAGUGCAAUGGCACAAUCUCAGCUCACAGCAACCUCCACCUCCCAGGUUCCAGCAAUUCUCCUGCCUCAGCCUCCCAAGUAGCUGGGAUUACAGGCACGCACCACCACACCUGGCUAAUUUUGGUAUUUUUAGUAGAAACAGGGAUUCGUCAUGUUGGCCAGGCUGGUCUCGAACUCCUAACCUCAGGUGAUCCAUCUGUCUCGGCCCACCAAAGUGCUGGGAUUACAGGCAUGAGCCACCGCGCCUGGCCAAGUUAAUGGUUUUGAGAUGAGAUUAUCCUGGACUACCUGGUAAGCCAUAUAUGCUGUCACAAGUGUCCUUAUAAAUUAGAGGCAGAGGGAGGUUGCACACAGAAGAGGAGAAGGCAAAAUCACUCCAGAGGCAGAGAUUGGAGUGAUGCAGCCACAAGCCAAGGAAUGCUGGCAGCCUCCAGAAGCCAGGAGAGGCAAUGAAUGGCUCCCCCGAGCCUCCAGAAGGCAGGCAGUCCUUCCGCUCCUUUGACUCCAGCCCAGUGAAACUGAUUUUAGACUCUGGCC